UUGGGAAGAACACCAGUGGCGAAGGCGCUCUACUGGGCCGUAACUGACGCUGAGGGACGAAAGCUAGGGGAGCGAAAGGGAUUAGAUACCCCUGUAGUCCUAGCUGUAAACGAUGGAUACUAGGUGUUGGACGUAUCGACCCGUUCAGUACCGCAGCCAACGCGAUAAGUAUCCCGCCUGGGGAGUACGCACGCAAGUGUGAAACUCAAAGGAAUUGACGGGGGCCCGCACAAGCGGUGGAGUAUGUGGUUUAAUUCGAUGCAACGCGAAGAACCUUACCAGGGCUUGACAUCCCUCGAAUCCUCUUGAAAGAGAGGAGUGCCUUCGGGAGCGAGGAGACAGGUGGUGCAUGGCUGUCGUCAGCUCGUGUCGUGAGAUGUUGGGUUAAGUCCCGCAACGAGCGCAACCCACGUCCUUAGUUGCCAUCAUUAAGUUGGGCACUCUGGGGAGACUGCCGGGGACAACUCGGAGGAAGGUGUGGAUGACGUCAAGUCAUCAUGCCCCUUACGUUCUGGGCUACACACGUACUACAAUGCUUCGGACAAAGAGCAGCCAACUAGCGAUAGUGAGCUAAUCUCAUAAACCGAGGCACAGUUCAGAUUGCAGGCUGCAACUCGCCUGCAUGAAGGAGGAAUCGCUAGUAAUCGCCGGUCAGCAUACGGCGGUGAAUACGUUCCCGGGCCUUGUACACACCGCCCGUCACACCAUGGGAGUUGGCCACGCCC
RNAcentral lists this ribosomal RNA (725 nucleotides) under uncultured bacterium. RNAcentral's name for it is "bacterial SSU rRNA". It matches the Rfam family "Bacterial small subunit ribosomal RNA", at positions 697 to 1422 of the family's 1533-position model. The record is from RNAcentral.